Molecule: ribosomal RNA, 483 nt
Filed under: Streptomyces geysiriensis
Lineage: Bacteria; Bacillati; Actinomycetota; Actinomycetes; Kitasatosporales; Streptomycetaceae
Description: bacterial SSU rRNA
Rfam family: Bacterial small subunit ribosomal RNA
Source: RNAcentral
CGUCUUCUAAUACCUCAUACUGAUCCUCACAAGCAUCUGCGAUGUUCUAAAGCUCCUGCCGUGCAGGAAGAGCCCGCGGCCUAUCAGCUUGUUGGUGAGGUAACGGCUCACCAAGGCGCACAACGGGUAGCCGGCCUGAGAGGGCGACCGGCCACACUGUGACUGAGACACGGCCCAGACUCCUACGGGAGGCACCACUGGGGAAUAUUGCACAAUGGGCAAAAGCCUGAUGCAGCGACGCCCCGUGAGGGAUAACGGCCUUCGGGUUGUAGACCUCUUUCAUCGGGGAAGAAGCGAAAGUGACAGUACCUGCAAAAUAACCGCCGGCUAACUACGUGCCACCAGCCGCGGUAAUACGUAAGGCGCAGCGUUGUCCGGAAUUAUUGGGCGUAAAGAGCUCGUAGGCGGCUUGUCACGUCAGUUGUGAAAGCCCGGGGCUUAACCCCGGGUCUGCAGUCGAUACGGGCAGGCUAGAGUUCGGUA